This 1191-nucleotide long non-coding RNA is filed under the name Gadus morhua (Atlantic cod). RNAcentral describes it as "lncRNA (ENSGMOG00000035099.1)". The record is from RNAcentral. Lineage: Eukaryota; Metazoa; Chordata; Actinopteri; Gadiformes; Gadidae.
AAACCUUAAUGCUCUCGUUUUAACAGUAUGUUUAUAUACCCUCAAAUAGAAAAACAAAUUAAAUUUCCUACUUAAUUUAUCCAAUUGAUCAACCUCAAAGACAAAGUGAUAUAUUGAAUAUUGCCCUUAUAUGACAUUCUCUAAACGUAUACCGAUAUUCUUGUAGCCGAAAUUCUUAUAGUUUCAAACUACUGCUUUCUCAUGUGUCGUGUUGAGGCUUGCGUUGCAGAGAAUGAGUGCUUCCCACCGAUCAAAAGUCAUCAGACAGGCAUGUGUAGAGUAGAUCAAGGGCAUAUCUUGAAAUGUUCAGAUGAAAGGAGUCUAGUGAUUGUAAUGUGAAAGUGUAAAUAUUACCAAUAAAUGGGACAUGGCCUAAAAGCUUCAGUUUUCAAAUAUUAUUCAACGUACAAAUAAUUUGAACAGAGUCCAGUUUGCAUUCAAUGCAUUGACUGGUCAUCAUGGUUGGCUAUCAUCAAGGUUUUUUCUCCCUCACAUUGGUCUCUUGGGUCGAUUACACAGGAUACUAGAUGGAGGGGUACGGAGGCCUGAGCCGCAGCCUGUGCUUUGGUCCUCUGUCCCAGCCUGCAGAGAGGAUCCUGGCCGCCCUGCGGGCCCAGGCUCUGCCCCCACCCAGAAACAGAAGCAACCACCGCUACAGCCGGCAAGUCGAUGAGGGCUAUGGAACUCAGAGGGAGCACUUGGUGCAGGCUGGCUGGAACACAACUCAGCAUAGGAUGCAAGGCAGGGAAACUGAACGACCUGGCUCGCAAACCCAGCCAUAUUCCUCCUCAUCCUGGCCGAGAACCCCAUCAUACUCAUCCGCGGCCACCAGUUGGGACUCCUCCCAGCAGACAGAUCACUCUCAGAACCCAGACUCCUUUGGCAGUACCUCAAGUAAGACACGGCCGUGCCUUCCCAGCAAAGACUACAACCAGCUCCUGUCCCAGUCUGAUUCCCGCCUCAGGAACCUACCAUACGCGAGCCACACCCUCUCGUCUCCCCAAAGAGCUGUGGUCUUGCCGGCUCCAGGAGGAUCUCAAAGUAAUGGUUGGUCUCUGCACAGGCCUGGCCUGCCUGCUCAGCAAGACACUAGCCCCUGGAAGAGGUGAGCAAGGCAGGGAGGAAUCUGAAAGGUGGUGUCGGUUUACAUUUAUAUUAAAAGCCGAGCCAGUGUAUUUUGCAUGAUUGUGU